GACGAACGCUGGCGGCGUGCCUAAUACAUGCAAGUCGAACGCUUCUUUCCUCCCGAGUGCUUGCACUCAAUUGGAAAGAGGAGUGGCGGACGGGCGAGUAACACGUGGGUAACCUACCCAUCAGAGGGGGAUAACACUUGGAAACAGGUGCUAAUACCGCAUAACAGUUUAUGCCGCAUGGCAUAAGAGUGAAAGGCGCUUUCGGGUGUCGUUGAUGGAUGGACCCGCGGUGCAUUAGCUAGUUGGUGAGGUAACGGCUCACCAAGGCCACGAUGCAUAGCCGACCUGAGAGGGUGAUCGGCCACACUGGGACUGAGACACGGCCCAGACUCCUACGGGAGGCAGCAGUAGGGAAUCUUCGGCAAUGGACGAAAGUCUGACCGAGCAACGCCGCGUGAGUGAAGAAGGUUUUCGGAUCGUAAAACUCUGUUGUUAGAGAAGAACAAGGACGUUAGUAACUGAACGUCCCCUGACGGUAUCUAACCAGAAAGCCACGGCUAACUACGUG
RNAcentral lists this ribosomal RNA (508 nucleotides) under uncultured bacterium. RNAcentral describes it as "partial 16S ribosomal RNA". It matches the Rfam family "Bacterial small subunit ribosomal RNA", at positions 28 to 507 of the family's 1533-position model. The record is from RNAcentral.